Molecule: unclassified non-coding RNA, 88 nt
Filed under: Pseudomonas frederiksbergensis
Lineage: Bacteria; Pseudomonadati; Pseudomonadota; Gammaproteobacteria; Pseudomonadales; Pseudomonadaceae
Source: RNAcentral
UGUAGCAGCUGUCGAGUGAAACGAGGCUGCGAGCUUUUGAUCUUUAAAAGCAAAGAUCACAGCCUCGUUUCACUCGACAGCUGCUACA